This is a non-coding RNA of Phrynosoma platyrhinos (Desert horned lizard), 72 nucleotides long. The record is from the annotation of a GenBank genome assembly. NCBI's taxonomy places the organism in Eukaryota, Metazoa, Chordata, Lepidosauria, Squamata, Phrynosomatidae.
GCCAGCAUGGCAUAGUGGUUUGUGUGUUGGACUGCAACUCUAGAGACCAGGAUUCAAUUCCCAGCUCGGCCA